CCUACGUGGUGCAGCAGUGGGGAAUAUUGCGCAAUGGGCGAAAGCCUGACGCAGCGACGCCGCGUGAGGGAUGAAGGUCUUCGGAUCGUAAACCUCUGUCAGCAGGGAAGAACGGUCACUGUGCUAAUCAGCAGUGAAUUGACGGUACCUGCAAAGGAAGCACCGGCUAACUCCGUGCCAGCAGCCGCGGUAAUACGGAGGGUGCGAGCGUUAAUCGGAAUUACUGGGCGUAAAGCGCUCGUAGGCGGUAUGUCAAGUCAAGGGUGAAAUCCCCGCGCUCAACGUGGGAACUGCCGUUGAAACUGGCAAACUGGAGUGUGUGAGAGGAUAGUGGAAUUCCAGGUGUAGGAGUGAAAUCCGUAGAUAUCUGGAGGAACAUCAGUGGCGAAGGCGACUAUCUGGCACAUAACUGACGCUGAGGAGCGAAAGCGUGGGUAGCAAACAGGAUUAGAUACCCCGGUAGUC
This 465-nucleotide ribosomal RNA is filed under the name uncultured bacterium. RNAcentral's name for it is "partial 16S ribosomal RNA". It matches the Rfam family "Bacterial small subunit ribosomal RNA", at positions 338 to 795 of the family's 1533-position model. The record is from RNAcentral.